RNAcentral lists this ribosomal RNA (467 nucleotides) under uncultured bacterium. RNAcentral's name for it is "bacterial SSU rRNA". It matches the Rfam family "Bacterial small subunit ribosomal RNA", at positions 23 to 518 of the family's 1533-position model. The record is from RNAcentral.
GUCAGGAUGAACGCUGGCGGCGUGCCUAACACAUGCAAGUCGAGCGAUUACUUCGGUAAAGAGCGGCGGACGGGUGAGUAACGCGUGGGUAACCUGCCUCAUACACAUGGAUAACAUACCGAAAGGUAUGCUAAUACAGGAUAAUAUAAGAGAUUCACAUGGAUUUCUUAUCAAAGCUCCGGCGGUAUGAGAUGGACCCGCGUCUGAUUAGCUAGUUGGUAAGGUAAUGGCUUACCAAGGCGACGAUCAGUAGCCGACCUGAGAGGGUGAUCGGCCACAUUGGAACUGAGACACGGUCCAAACUCCUACGGGAGGCAGCAGUGGGGAAUAUUGCACAAUGGGCGAAAGCCUGAUGCAGCAACGCCGCGUGAGUGAUGAAGGCCUUCGGGUCGUAAAACUCUGUCCUCAAGGAAGAUAAUGACGGUACUUGAGGAGGAAGCCCCGGCUAACUACGUGCCAGCAGCCGC